RNAcentral lists this transfer-messenger RNA (356 nucleotides) under Pontiella sulfatireligans. RNAcentral describes it as "Standard tmRNA". It matches the Rfam family "transfer-messenger RNA". Rfam says of the family: Bacterial tmRNA, also known as 10Sa RNA or SsrA, is named for its dual tRNA and mRNA-like properties. Its role is to liberate the mRNA from a stalled ribosome. Lineage: Bacteria; Pseudomonadati; Kiritimatiellota; Kiritimatiellia; Kiritimatiellales; Pontiellaceae. The record is from Rfam by way of RNAcentral.
GGGGAUGACUGGUUUCGACGGGUAAGUUGAAGCUUCAGUGGCGUGUCGAGGUUGGCCUCCAGGCCUCGUAAAAAGGAGUCCAAAAAACAUAAAUGCUGACGAAAGUUACGCACUAGCGGCAUAGUUCCGCUACGUCUCUACCCUAAUGUCUGUUAAGGGAUAGAGGCGACGACAACAGGCUAAGGCCAAUACCGGGCACCCGGGUUGCGGCUCGAAAACCAUAACAGGAUACUAGCGACCAAAGUGGCUCUGUCGAGUGGCAGCGGAGGCGGCGAAUCUUUUAAUGCUCGACUACACACGUAGAGGCUGUUGUGACUCUUAUUCGGACGGGGGUUCAAUUCCCCCCAUCUCCACCA